GAUGAACGCUGGCGGCGUGCCUAAUACAUGCAAGUCGAGCGAACAGACGAGGAGCUUGCUCCUCUGACGUUAGCGGCGGACGGGUGAGUAACACGUGGAUAACCUACCUAUAAGACUGGGAUAACUUCGGGAAACCGGAGCUAAUACCGGAUAAUAUAUUGCACCGCAUGGUUCAAUAGUGAAUGACGGUUUUGCUGUCACUUAUAGCUGGAUCCGCGCCGCAUUAGCUAGUUGGUAAGGUAACGGCUUACCAAGGCAACGAUGCGUAGCCGACCUGAGAGGGUGAUCGGCAACACUGGAACGGAGACACGGUCCAGACUACUACGGGAGGCAGCAGUAGGGAAUCUUCCGCAAUGGGCGAAAGCCUGACGGAGCAACGCCGCGUGAGUGAUGAAGGUCUUCGGAGCGUAAAACUCUGUUAUUAGGGAAGAACAAAUGUGUAAGUAACUAUGCACGUAUUGACGGUACCUAAUCAGAAAGCCACGGCUAACUACGUG
RNAcentral lists this ribosomal RNA (497 nucleotides) under uncultured bacterium. RNAcentral's name for it is "partial 16S ribosomal RNA". It matches the Rfam family "Bacterial small subunit ribosomal RNA", at positions 28 to 507 of the family's 1533-position model. The record is from RNAcentral.